ACUUAUUAACGCGAGUCUGUGACCCAAGUGGGGGCAUUAAAGUGGGUUCGAAGGGGCCAUUGAUAUCGGACUAUUACAGAGCUAUUAGAAGUUUUAGUCGAGUAAUAACGUGAGGGGUUGACUCAUAAUUCAACUCGGGCUCUUAAAGGUUCGUGGGCAGCACAUGUAGUGUGCUCUGCUGUUAUCAGUUUGUAUGUGAAGGUGUCGGAAAGAUCCACGGUGUUAACAAUUGGCCCGGGCCCGAGUUCAAGCCAAACUGUGCGCUGGUGGCUGUGCUCUUCUUGAAGAAACAGAUGCUUCUCGGGAAGACUCGACAGCCAUUGGAAUAUCUGUUUCCAUCCGACCAAAGGUCGGGUGGCGUAUGUGCUGACUUAAACCAGAGCAGCAACCGACACAAUAUCGACUGUUAAGCAUGAACCGAUAACUUGUGUCGUCUUGUCUAAAACGUCCAAGGCUCUUGUCCGAGAUCAAUCCCAACUCCCAUCUUUUUACAAACAUUUUCGGUUUUUUUAGACCGAUAGUUCCAAAAGAGCAGAAAAACCUAACCAAAUUAGCAUAACCAAGAAUUGUGGGGUGAAAUAGUAAUUUGCUGGUGAUUUGUGGAUUGAUGAUGGAAUAGAUCUUGCCUUAUUUUGAAGGAGGAAAGGGUCUGAAAUGUUAUCUCAAAACUCAUCUUUGUGAUACACCUGAUAACAGUUGUUUUGUUGAUAUAAUAGUUUAUAUUGUUGGAAUAAACGAUCACUUUAUCAAACGAAAAUGUAAUUUCUGCAUCAUUAUUUUACCAUCCCACAUUGAUUGUUGAUAUUGACAUAAUAGUUUAUAUUGAUUUCACUAUUCGAUAUAACUUUACUUAUUUUUUCUUAAUAAAAUAGUAGAUGUAAACGAGCCAAGCCCUCUUGAUAUCGACCUGCUACUCACAUCACGGAUGGUCUCUAUGGAUGGUUCCUGUGGUUUGCACUUUAUAAGUUGGUUUGAAGGCACUGACAAGGCACUAGUUAUCGAAGUUCUACUCCAUCGGACCUAG
This 1024-nucleotide long non-coding RNA is filed under the name Helianthus annuus (common sunflower). RNAcentral describes it as "hypothetical non coding rna". The record is from RNAcentral. Lineage: Eukaryota; Viridiplantae; Streptophyta; Magnoliopsida; Asterales; Asteraceae.